GGGGGGCGGCAGGGCGGGCUCCUCGCCUCGGCCGGGGGUCGGAGCCCCUGGGCGGGUCACACUCCCUCUCUUUCUUACAUACAUGCUCACACACUCGCAUGUGUGCUCACAUGCACUUACAUACGCACGCACUUACAUCCAGACUCACAUACACACUCCCACACACACUUACAUACACACACAUGCUCACACACACACAUACAUGCACACAUUCCCACAUACACACAUGCUUACAUACAUGCUCACAUACACGCCCAUAGACAUGGACACGCUCCCCCCCACACACACAUGCUCACACACACACAUACAUGUACACACCCCACAUACACUUACAUACAGACACACACUCACAUACAUGCUCACAUACACACCCACACACACAUGCUCACACAAACGCUCACAUACAUGCACACCCACAUACAUUUACAUACACUCACACACACACUCUCACACACACACACACAUACACAUCCCUCCCCUCCAUUUCCUCCCCCAUCUUCCCCCCUUUGCUUUCCUUGUGGAGCCUAGGGCCCCUGGAGAUGGCCCAGAGGUCAGUGUCAUCGGGGACCCCAGAGACGAGCCCUGAGUUGUUUCCCAAGCGUGUUCCCUGAGGAGGCUCCUUGACUACCAUGUGCACAGCUCCAUCUACCAGCCUGACACCUGGGGAAGAAAGUGAGGAAAAGUUGUAGUAGCUGCUCUGGCUCCGAGAAGAGAGGGGUAUUUCCUGUGGUGCCUCCUGCCCAUCUUCUGGUCUGCGGGGUGAUCGUCCCCCUCUGCCUGUGCAAAACCACCUGCCCUACCUGGAGCGCACUGAAAAGCUGGGUCAUUCUCUUUGACAUCCCGCUUGCCUGAGAUCCAGUGAAUACACUGUAGGCAACCGCUGGCAGGGACUUCACCUUUGCUGUGUGCAUUGAACAGUCCUCACUUGCCGGAGAGGUGACAGUUACUCUCAGAGGGAGCAGCCUGCCUGGUGACUUUUAGGCAUAGCUUAGAAGUUGCAGGCUGGGUGAGUAGUGGGGGGGUGGGGAAGAUUCCCAUCCCCAUCAGCAUCCCCAUCCCUGGGGCUUAUAAUGCAGUGGGACUCACUUCUUCACUUUUUCAAACCUGUUUCUGUACUUCUGCUUCCCUGGAUGAGAUUGACAGCUCUGCACAAGCUCAGUUCCCUAGCUUGCUAGUUCAGCUCCUGUAUUGAUCCCACAACUCCCUUAUCUCCCCCCACUACUUCCACCCCUUCACCUUUACAGGGUCCUGGGUUCUCCUGAGCUUCCAUGACCAGUUGUGGGUACUACCUGAACUGAGCCACUUAUACUCAUUUCACUUGUGAUGAUGACCAAGAUGAAACUCAGGUUUCCAGAAGAACUAGGCAUUGUCUCUGCCACUUACUCCUUUAAACUCCAUAGUUAGUGAAUGAAUGCCUUCAGCAGCUUUGUGGCCUGUGACUUCAUGGUAAGACUUCUCACCCAGGAAAGCGGCAGAACUGACAAACAGUUCACAUAGCAGGUGGAGGUCAGAGGAACUGUCAAGACUUUUGCAGCAUCUCUUGAAGCCAAACAAAAAAUGUGAAAUGAGUGUCAUUCUCUCACCCUUCUCCAUUAUAGCUAUAAAUAUUUUCUGUUCAUUGCAGUGGUUUGGCAUGAGUCUGUUCUCUCUCUCUCUCUACAUGUCAGCACUUCUAUCCAAGAAUUUCUGGCUAGAACACAGCUAUAGGUUUAAACACUCUUCAGGUUAAAAAAUAUACAGGCAGGUAACCUCAGUAUUUGGAGAAAGAUAUGUUUACUGUGUGUGAGGCCUAGUGGGUAGAGCACUUACCUGGACUCAGUGGACAUGGCUUCAGUUCCUAGCUCUGCUCCUGACCUGUUGGGUAACCUUGGGCAAGUCACAUUAUUAUUCUGUGCCUCAAUUUCCCCAUCUCUAAUAAAGGGAUAAUGAUCUUG
Long non-coding RNA from Alligator mississippiensis (American alligator), 1934 nucleotides. RefSeq lists it as uncharacterized. The transcript has 2 exons. NCBI's taxonomy places the organism in Eukaryota, Metazoa, Chordata, Crocodylia, Alligatoridae. The record is from RefSeq and is a predicted model, not a curated record.